Long non-coding RNA from Hibiscus syriacus, 876 nucleotides. RefSeq lists it as uncharacterized. The transcript is spliced from 3 exons. NCBI's taxonomy places the organism in Eukaryota, Viridiplantae, Streptophyta, Magnoliopsida, Malvales, Malvaceae. The record is from RefSeq and is a predicted model, not a curated record.
UCAAUCCUAUCCACAUUUUUGAUUUUUCACUUCCCUCGCUCUCUCUGUCCUCCUUCCCUUCCGCUUCCACUUCACGCGCCACCGUCCUCAUCCUCCACUCUCCACCACCCAAGUUGAAGCCGUUUCUCUCUACGAAGGUACUGUAUGGCACGAGCGUCGCAACCCCAUUAGCCAUUCUUUCCGGUACUCGUACGCUACGCUCUUUUCAACCUCGAUCACGCUCCUAACACUCCUCCCGACCACCUCUCCGCCGACGAGGCUCGUAGGUUUUCCAAAACUGAUGGCCCUGUGUAAGUUCCUGAAUUUUCUUAUCCCCUCUUUUGUCAAUACUUUUUUUUAGUUCAUCUCAAAUAUUUGGUAUUUUGAUGAAAUUACGGUGACAGUUUUCUGUUAACAAUUCCUCCAAGCGUGGGGUACGAACAGAAUCCAUUGAGCAUAUAUUAUUGCUAUGGUAUGGAGGGAAACACUAAGCUUCUGAAGAAAGUGCAUUGCUGAGGUGACUAAUACCCCCUGGGUGAAAGAGUAUUAUUUGUAUUCGACCCAGAUUCUGAUUUAGUGGCAAAACCAUUGCAUGUCAGUCCUUUCAUGCAUAUGCUCGGGAAUUGGAGCCUUAGAUCAAAUGCUCCUGAUCAAAAUUUACCAGUUACAAUAUCUGUCCAACACCCUGAGCUUGGUGAUUAUUUUCUGGCCACCUUGAAAGCGAAAAGAAUCUCUCCGGAAUCAGUGCAUGAUCAUGCACUGUUUUUCUGGUUGAUGCCUCAUAAGGUUGCCCUGUGGAUAUACGGCAUGUAAGUCGAACUAAAAAGUGUUCAACUUUGGUAUGGGUUGGACUCUUGAGCUAACUAUGAACUCCAUCAGUUCUCUACUGCUUUGGCC